UACGCAGGUGGCAAGCGUUGUCCGGAAUUAUUGGGCGUAAAGCGCGCGCAGGUGGUCCUUUAAGUCUGAUGUGAAAGCCCACGGCUCAACCGUGGAGGGUCAUUGGAAACUGGGGGACUUGAGUACAGAAGAGGAAAGUGGAAUUCCACGUGUAGCGGUGAAAUGCGUAGAGAUGUGGAGGAACACCAGUGGCGAAGGCGACUUUCUGGUCUGUAACUGACACUGAGGCGCGAAAGCGUGGGGAGCGAACAGG
This 253-nucleotide ribosomal RNA is filed under the name uncultured bacterium. RNAcentral's name for it is "partial 16S ribosomal RNA". It matches the Rfam family "Bacterial small subunit ribosomal RNA", at positions 524 to 776 of the family's 1533-position model. The record is from RNAcentral.